AUUAAAAGAGAAAGUGAAAGUACAAAUGUAUAUCCUAAAUGCAAUCCUUACACAAAGCGAUCUUUCGAGUUAAAACUGUAUCACAUUGUGCAUGCCGAUGUAAACAGACAAUGCCGAAGAAGGGAAAAGCUUCUGAAAAGAAGGCAGAUGUACAACCUACAGACGAAGGACCUGUUAUUAUGAAGCCUGACAAAUCUGUAUCAAUAAAAAUUUUAGCCAAACCUGGUGCUAAACACAAUUCUAUUACAGGUUUUGAAGACGAUGGAAUAGGUGUUCAAAUAUCUGCUCCACCAGUGGAUGGAGAGGCCAAUACAGAACUUGUUAAAUAUAUGGCCAAAGUAUUGGGUAUCAGAAAGUCAGAAAUAUCACUAGACAAGGGAUCCAGAUCACGCAACAAAGUACUGGUAGUUAAUGGUCUACAAAAAGAUGUCAUAAUAACAAGUAUUAAAAGCCAAAUAGAUAAUUGAAAGAAAGGGAAGAUACACAAUAAACAGCACAAGCUGACACAGUAGGAUCGAACGAACAACAUUUUCCUUCUGUGCUGAUAUUAUUGAAUUGAGGGAGGUGAUCUUCAUGUUAGUAUAUUUUGUUUGCCCAAAGAACAGACACAUGGACGAGACAGAUACGAUAAACACUAAAGUUCCAAGAUUAACUGCCUCUAGGUUGUCUUUAUCCAAAAGACUAGUGUCAACACUGAAAAUUUCCAUCAG
Mytilus californianus (California mussel) is the source of this 710-nucleotide RNA transcript. It is a transcript of the gene named UPF0235 protein C15orf40 homolog, with no coding region annotated. The record is from RefSeq and is a predicted model, not a curated record. Lineage: Eukaryota; Metazoa; Mollusca; Bivalvia; Mytilida; Mytilidae. The transcript is spliced from 5 exons.